Fibrobacter sp. is the source of this 74-nucleotide non-coding RNA. NCBI's taxonomy places the organism in Bacteria, Pseudomonadati, Fibrobacterota, Fibrobacteria, Fibrobacterales, Fibrobacteraceae. The record is from Rfam.
CGGAAUAUAGCUCAGCCUGGUAGAGCGCUUGCUUCGGGAGCAAGAGGUCGUGGGUCCGAAUCCCGCUAUUCCGA